UAAAAUAAUUAAGGGCACACAAAGGAUGCCUAGGUAGUAAGAGCCGAUGAAGGACGUGGUAAGCUGCGAUAAGCCUAGAUAAGUUGCAAUCGAACGUAAGAGUCUAGGAUUUCCGAAUGGAGCAAUCUAUUAAGAUGGAGUCUUAAUACGAAAGAGGGAACCGCGUGAACUGAAACAUCUAAGUAACGCGAGGAAAAGAAAGUAAAAACGAUACCCAAAGUAGCGGCGAGCGAAAUGGGUCAAGCCUAAACCUUAAAUAUGUCAAGGAUACAGCCGUUGUAUUUAAGGGGUUGAGGGACAGAGUAGUGAAGAACUGUAAGAUAUUCAAUAUAGUGUAUUGAUGAAUUGGAAUUGUCUGGAAAGGCGAACCGUAGAAGGUGAAAGUCCUGUACAAGUAAAUCCUUACACAUAUAACUCUGCUCCCAAGUAACAUGGAACACGAGGAAUUCUGUGUGAAUCUGUGAGGACCAUAUCUCAUAAGGCUAAAUACUCUUACUAACCGAUAGCGCAUAGUACCGUGAGGGAAAGGUGAAAAGAACCCCUGGAGGGGAGUGAAAUAGAACCUGAAAUUGUGUGCUUACAAGCGGUCAGAGCCCAUUUGGGUGAUGGCGUGCCUUUUGGAGAAUGAUCCUGCGAGUUACGUUAAACGGCGAGGUUAAGUAUAACGGAGCCGAAGGGAAACCAAGUCUUAAUAGGGCGAUUUAGUCGUUUGGCGUAGACGCGAAACCUGGUGAUCUAAACCUGUCCAGGAUGAAGCUGUGGUAAGACACAGUGGAGGUCCUAACCCACCGCCGUUGAAAAGUUGGGGGAUGAGGUAGGUUUAGGGGUGAAAAGCCAAUCGAACCAGGAGAUAGCUCGUUCUCUCCGAAAUGCAUCUAGGUGCAGCCUUGAGUGUUCAAUUAUGGGGGUAGAGCACUGAAUGAUCUAGGGGGCAUAUUGCUUACUGAAAUCAAUCAAACUCCGAAUACCAUAAUUUAUAGCUCAGGAGUGAGACUAUGGGAGUUAACUUCCAUUGUCAAAAGGGAAACAACCCAGACCACCAGCUAAGGUCCCUAAUUAUAACUAAGUGGGAAAGGAGGUGGAGAUUCACAAACAACUAGGAGGUUGGCUUAGAAGCAGCCAUACCUUUAAAGAGUGCGUAAUAGCUCACUAGUCGAGAGUCUCUGCGCCGACAAUGUAACGGGGCUAAGUUAUAAACCGAAGCUGUGGAAUCCGUAAGGAUUGGUAGGAGAGCGUUCUGUAGGCCGUUGAAGAAGAAGGGUAACCGACUUUGGAGGUAUCAGAAGUGAGAAUGCAGGAAUAAGUAGCGAGAAAGGGGGCGAGAAUCCCCCUCGCCGGAAGACCAAGGUUUUCAGGGUAAAGCUUGUCUUCCCUGAGUAAGCCGGGACCUAAGCCCAGGCUAUAAUGCGUAGGCGAAUGGAAAACAGAUUAAUAUUUCUGUGCCAGUCAUUUAUUGUGAUGGAGGGACGCAGAAGGGUAUGCGCGCGGACGAUCGGUUGUGUCCGUAGAAGUAUGUAGGGUGACUUAGUAGGUAAAUCCAUUAAGUUAUAUCUGAGGUAUGAUAUACAGUCGUAAGAUGAAUGCGCAAAUCCCACGCUGCCAAGAAAAGCUUCUAACGUUAAUAUAUGACUGCCCGUACUGUAAACCGACACAGGUGGUCAGGAUGAGAAAUCUAAGGCGGACAGGCUAACUCUCGUUAAGGAACUCUGCAAAAUAACCUCGUAACUUCGGGAGAAGAGGAGCCCUUGAGUGUUAGUAUCCAUGCGAUACAAAGCGCUCGAGGGUCGCAGUGAAGAGGCUCAAGCAACUGUUUAACAAAAACACAGGUCUAUGCUAAGCUGGAAGGCGAUGUAUAUGGGCUGACACCUGCCCAGUGCUGGAAGGUUAAGAGGAGGAGUGAGAGCUCCGAAUUGAAGCCCCAGUGAACGGCGGCCGUAACUAUAACGGUCCUAAGGUAGCGAAAUUCCUUGUCGGGU
This 1976-nucleotide ribosomal RNA is filed under the name human oral metagenome. Its description in RNAcentral is "bacterial LSU rRNA". It matches the Rfam family "Bacterial large subunit ribosomal RNA", at positions 1 to 1977 of the family's 2925-position model. The record is from RNAcentral.